This is a non-coding RNA of Phalacrocorax carbo (great cormorant), 3452 nucleotides long. The record is from RefSeq and is a predicted model, not a curated record. Lineage: Eukaryota; Metazoa; Chordata; Aves; Suliformes; Phalacrocoracidae.
UGGCAAGAGAAAACCUUGUCCGUCCGUCCCCUUCCAUGGUGCUGCCCCAAACCUCGACCCUGGGAAUCCCAAGGGGUUGGGAAAACCGUGGGGUGCUUGGCACUGUACCAUGGGGUUCGGAAACGCUGAGCCCUGAAAGGGCAGCUUCAUCACGCAUCACCACCGUCUUCCUCCCCUGAAACGGGAUGUCUGGAAAUCGUCCGCCCCGGGGAGCAACAUGUACAUAUACACACGCACGGGGUGUAGCUAAAAUAAAAAGCUAACCUGGAAAACCUCCGCAAGUUAGAGCAAAUAUAUGGCCCUAUACGUCCCGGGCGGCUGCUAACUGGCCACCAGCAAAUCCCCGCUUGGCAGCGGGGAGUGGAGUGGUCACGAGGGAAAAUACAUCAUUCAUAUUUCUAUUUCUCGGGUAUUUCUAUCAAAGGGAAUCAUGUCUCAAAGCCAGCAGGGUUUGAGAAACCAAAAAACAUUUUGAGAAUUGGGCAAUUUUUCUCAGUGGUUUGGUUGGUUUGUAGUUUGUGGUUUGUUUUUUUUUAAGAUUCGCGAUCUCAGAUGUCAAACAAAAAUAUGAGAAAUCAAAAAAAAAAAGGUUUGAAAAAUCAAAAAAACAUGGAUGUUUAGCACAGCGGGGUGUUCCCACCUGGGUGGAUGGAGGAGGAUGAAAAGAGUCAGGUGGAGGUUUGGGCCUCGCAGCCUCCUGAUUUCUCCUGCUCCUGUAAAUGUGCCCUUUCCAACCCAUUUAUUUUUUCCAUCCACUUUCAUCACCUGCACUUGGUCUUAGAUCCUCAUCUCCCAAGCAUGUUGGUGCACCAUGGGCAGGUCCCCUGGACCUCAUCUACACGCUACAGGCGUCCUGGCACAGGGUCGGCGAGUUGUAGCAGUCUGGGGAAAGGAUGAGUGUUUUGAUGUGUCUACACCACGCUCAGGGCUUGUUUUCUACACGCUGCAGCAGCUCGGGCGAAUCGGGGCGAGGAGGAUGUCCAGGGCUGCCCAGCACUGUUGCCUCCAAAACCGAACUCUAUCCUUGGCGUGAAUUUUUUGCCCUUCUUGAUGGAAGGUGGCAAAACACUCGCCAGAGAGCAACGGAUCCCUUUCUCUCUGCAAUUGGCCAUUUUCCACCCUUUCGGCCCAUGCUCGGAGCCAGCCCUGGAGGAGCGCACGGCCCAAACAGCGCAAAAGGAGGGGAUGUCCUGCCAAAAUAACAAGUUAAGUGCGAGGCAGAUGCCAGGCUCAUCUUUACCGAGGCAGACGAAGCCGACAGCUCACUAGCAACUGCCUCUCUUCUCCUAAGAGGUGUAGAAAUAACCCAAGAAGCUGCACCCACCAGCAGGAAAACCUCGCCUGCAGGGAAAGACUGGAAGCGAAAAAUCAGAAUAUAAAGUCUGAUCCAAAGCGACAACCUCCAGCCCCAGCGGAAGAGACGCGGGGUUGCGUUACAAGCGUCGUUGCAGGCAGCGGCCCUGGUAGCUGUUUGCCAAACGCUUUUCCUUACAGUACUGCUGACGGCAGGCGUUUCAAAAUCAGAAGUCCCUCAGAGCUGUGAUUAUCUUAAAUCCUGAUGAAAAUAUAUCCUGUGGGAGCAUUUUAUUCACCGCCUGGUUGCUGGGUCCAUUGGAGAGCUUUAGGAUAUGUUUUCCCACGGGCUCGUGGGUGGAUGUGCAGGGGGGUACGGGGCAGAUGCAGGUAUUUUGAGGCACAUAACAAAGUUGUGACUGUAGGUCCUUGUGACUUUGCCAGACGUUAAACAUGGGGGAUGAAAUUUUACAUGCUUGUGUGUCUGCCUAAGGAUGGUCUCCUUUUAAUUUCAGCAGAAAUAGUUCAGCCAUUUGUAAGAUCAAGGGAGAAAUAUUUUCUUCUGGCACCAGGAGAAAAUAUUCUUCUAACUCGUGAGGUUCCAGAAACACUGCAGCUGCUCCUAACGUCAGCCAGUGAUUUGCUUUUUAGCGUCCACUUGCUGAGCAAAAUACCUCCGAAAAGAAUCGGAGUUUGCACAUUUUCAGAAUAUUUCUCCAACUUGGCUGGUCGAAUCCGACACAGGCUCCCGCCGGCGAGGCAGGGCUGGGGAAGGUUUCCUUUUCAAACCACCUCCAAGCUGCUGUGAAGAGAGGAAUGAAGAGCAGAAAGACCGUCUUUCCCCAUGCUAACAGCACUUUGGUUGCUGAAGGCUGUGCCAUGUCAAACAAAAAGUCACGGAGCAGCCAAUGGAAGGAAAUUUCAUAUGAACUUCGAGACAGCUUCUAGGAAAAUAGAUGCAAUUUUGGCCUGGGAAAGUUGCUUUCAGAUUUAAAAGUUCCUUAUCCCACGCUUAGAGCCUUGAAUGCUCAAAGCUAUUUUAGAUAUCUCCCUUCGGCAUGGCUAGGAUUUCUGCCAUGCUCAUUCCUCACCGUAUAUCCCCAGGCACAUUCAUUUCAAACCGAUGCACCUAUCAAACCCUCAUUAAAACCCUUCUUACUCCAGUGACACUUCAUAGCGUGUGAUCACUUUUUAAGAUGCUCCAUUAGGACCCGGCUCAGCGCCGAUGCUUUAAACCAGGGGCAAGUUUCAGGCGUAGGCAGAUUUCACACCACAUCCUGAAAGCGUUUCAUUAUCUGCUUAUUGAAGGGAAAAAUUGGUCCAGAAGGGAAAUUUUUGUUUUCUGGCAGGGAAAUAUGAGACUGGAGAUCUGGCGAGACGCAGAAGAGCAUCAUGUGCAAGGUCUUCGAGGAGGCGGCGCUUCGGUAUUUCAGGUGGGGGGACGGUGAAGGAGCUGCUACAGUUUCCUGCAGGAGUGGGAACAGAGGGAAGGAGGCUCACGGGAGGGAAGUCUUUGCUGGAGGAGCCUUUGCCUGAGCCCUUCCGAUGACCCAGCCGAGGCUCUUUUUUGGUGUCUUGUUCCUCCCCAAUGUCAGAGCGUCUUUGGAUGUUCUUUUUUUUGCAUUUGCCGCUGAGGUCAGGGCUGGGAAGGUUAUCGUAGGAAGGUCUGGGAAACAAGACAGGGUAUGGUGAAAGCACAGGCGAUUUCUCCAUGGCUAGCUUUUUGGGGAAGAGCAAGGAGCAUCUCAUUAAUUGACAACGUCAGCAACGCCACAUCUGGAUGGAGGGCACUGAGCGAGGCUUGGCGACUUGCGAUACUAUCUCCAUUCUGUAGAGGAAGAAAACGAAGCAUAAAAAAUGCAAGGCCAAAUUUAUCUCGAAGACGUCUGGCGGGAAGCGAGCCAAGACAUGUAAGCCUGUCUGUCUGCCUGCCGGUGCGUGGCAGCGAAGCCAGCGGGAGGUAAAUCCCUCUUGUGGCUGCCCCGUAGCCCCACAGCAUCCGACCAGCCCUGGGCGAGGGGAAGGAAGCGUGGUAAGGGACACGCCAUUGUUUUGCCCAGGCAAAUACUCAGGGAAUGCAGGGCAAGCAGGAGGGAGAUCUGAGCUUUCCUGUGUUUGUGUUGCAAAUAUUUUCAUAAAGGUGCUUUUUUUGAACUCUU